This 253-nucleotide ribosomal RNA is filed under the name uncultured bacterium. RNAcentral describes it as "partial 16S ribosomal RNA". It matches the Rfam family "Bacterial small subunit ribosomal RNA", at positions 524 to 776 of the family's 1533-position model. The record is from RNAcentral.
UACGAAGGGUGCAAGCGUUACUCGGAAUUACUGGGCGUAAAGCGUGCGUAGGUGGUUUGUUAAGUCCGUUGUGAAAGCCCCGGGCUCAACCUGGGAAUGGCAGUGGAAACUAGGGGACUGGAAUCUGGCAGAGGGGGGUGGAAUGCCGCGUGUAGCAGUGAAAUGCGUAGAGAUGCGGCGGAACACCGAUGGCGAAGGCAGCCCCCUGGGCUGAGAUUGACGCUCAGGCACGAAAGCGUGGGGAGCAAACAGG